Molecule: ribosomal RNA, 356 nt
Filed under: Anomophysis aegrota
Lineage: Eukaryota; Metazoa; Arthropoda; Insecta; Coleoptera; Cerambycidae
Description: SSU rRNA
Rfam family: Eukaryotic small subunit ribosomal RNA
Source: RNAcentral
AGGAGUGGAGCCUGCGGCUUAAUUUGACUCAACACGGGAAACCUCACCAGGCCCGGACACCGGAAGGAUUGACAGAUUGAGAGCUCUUUCUUGAUUCGGUGGGUGGUGGUGCAUGGCCGUUCUUAGUUGGUGGAGCGAUUUGUCUGGUUAAUUCCGAUAACGAACGAGACUCUAGCCUGCUAACUAGGCGUAUUUCGACAUCCCAAAGGCCCGCCGGUUUAGGGUUUCGCGACCCUUUUCCGCGCGCGGUUUUUACUGUCGGCGUACAAACAAUUCUUCUUAGAGGGACAGGCGGCUUCUAGCCGCACGAGAUUGAGCAAUAACAGGUCUGUGAUGCCCUUAGAUGUUCUGGGCCG